This is a long non-coding RNA of Xenopus tropicalis (tropical clawed frog), 672 nucleotides long. RefSeq lists it as uncharacterized. The record is from RefSeq and is a predicted model, not a curated record. Lineage: Eukaryota; Metazoa; Chordata; Amphibia; Anura; Pipidae. The transcript has 2 exons.
UGUUUUAUAACUUGCAGGUGACCAUUCAAUCCCAAUUGCUGGUAGGUUGCUAUGGGCAUCAUCACCAGUGAUGUUUGUUUCCAAUGUAAAUAAAUAACUAAAUGUAUGAAUCUGCACAGGCUGCAAACCCCAACAUGGCCGCCAACUGCCACCGGCUGCUCUUCCUUGACUCUUUACCUGCAGUGUCUUUGAGAGAGGCACCUCUGUGUCUAAACUAAGCUUAAUAUACAAGAAUAUAUUCUGCAUAGAGAGAGCAAGUAACAGGUAGACCUCUAAGCUCUGCAGCUGAAAAUCAGCAACUGUCUCUCAUCUCUGAGCAUCAACUGUCACUCAUCUCUAAGCAUCAACUGUCACUCAUCUCUGAGCAUCAACUGUCACUCAUCUCUGAGCAUCAACUGUCACUCAUCUCUGAGCAGCAGCCUUGUGGUAUCACAAUGUAAUGCCAGACCUUUGCAAACUUUGUGAUUUUUAUUAUAGACCUGCAGUGUGACCAUCAUUAACCAGCAGGGAAAUGGGUGGGCUAGGCACGGGUGCCAGUAUCUAUAGAUCUUUACACGCUAGUGAACUGCUGCAAAUAUACAAAACUUUAGUCUUUAAUAUACUGAACCCUGGGACUGCCAGCACCUCAUUUAUAAUUCAUUUUAAUAUGUAAUAAAAUGAUUCCAAUACUGA